This is a long non-coding RNA of Uranotaenia lowii, 849 nucleotides long. RefSeq lists it as uncharacterized. The record is from RefSeq and is a predicted model, not a curated record. The transcript is spliced from 5 exons. Lineage: Eukaryota; Metazoa; Arthropoda; Insecta; Diptera; Culicidae.
CUGAGAGAAACACACACUGGCUGUGUGGACCUUUCCUGAGGAUCACCGUAAAGAGGAACUACUCUGAUUUAUUCGCCAUACAGGCUCGUGUGUUCAUUGGCCAGCGGCUAUAAAGGUUUAAACAUCAAGAACCAGCGUCCAGCGAUGCUGAUCCGGUCAACAAACCGGGCUUUUUCUAUAACUGUCAGCAGCAGAAACAAGUGUGGGUCCAUGUUGGUCAACGAGGUGAAGGCAUUAUCCGUUUAUAAAUAACGAUUUUUUUCUUAAUUUUAAAGCAUUGUAACAGUUACAACCUUGACUUUAUUUACCAAUGAGGCCGGAGAUAGGAAAAUUAAUGUGUGGCUCAAAAUGACUUUAAUACAAAUUUAAUCCAACCAAAAUUCCAUUUGAGACCACCAAAGCUCUACACAAUGCAGCCUUUAACAAGUUCCUCGACCAGCGCUUCUUAACCCACUACUUUAUCAAUCAGGGUAGAGAAAGACAUUCCACGAUUUUGCGUUCGGAAUCCAGCGUAAGACCGGAAGCCAAAUCCGUCACGAACGCUGUGGGAACAAGGCUUCAGACUUAUUGCCAAAAUCGUUCUAAAAUUUGUAAGAAAACGCACUACUGGAUAACUUAAACUAAAUAUCACGAAGAGAAACGAUUUAUAAUUAUGUUCUGGGCCCGGCUGACUUGAAAAAAAAUCUACAAUUUACUUCAAUUUAAGAUAUCCAUCUUCGAGCAAAUUUUAAAAAAACAUCCCUACUACACAAAGAAAACCAAGUAAGGGUUACUUGGAAGUGUGUACCGCGACGUGAUAAUGGGCUGAAAUAGGUGAUCGAGGAGGCCAAUGUCGCAUUAUAAGUGAGG